GGGGAUGACUGGUUUCGACUAGGGACGGUAGUCCCAGGAGAAGCGGGCCGAGGAUUCAAGGUUAUCUCGCUAACGCUCCUUGAAAACCAAUAAGUGCCAACAAUGCACGUACUGACUUCGCUCUCGCUGCCUGAUCAGUGACCGAAGGGUCAGCCCACGGGUGCCUUCCCCGUGGUACCUGGCCUCAUUAAGAAGGCUCACCGCCUAGUCCUCGUUCUAGGGACUCCGCGGGAAACUCAUAGAACUGGGCUCGUCCACAGCUCGCUGGCGUGACUGUGGGAGCCAAGCAGAACAACAGCCAGCUGCGCCCGGAGAAUGCCUGGUACGCCUCUCAAGGACGGGGGUUCGAUUCCCCCCAUCUCCACUC
This 367-nucleotide transfer-messenger RNA is filed under the name Propionibacteriaceae bacterium. It matches the Rfam family "transfer-messenger RNA". Rfam says of the family: Bacterial tmRNA, also known as 10Sa RNA or SsrA, is named for its dual tRNA and mRNA-like properties. Its role is to liberate the mRNA from a stalled ribosome. Lineage: Bacteria; Bacillati; Actinomycetota; Actinomycetes; Propionibacteriales; Propionibacteriaceae. The record is from RNAcentral.